GAUGAACGCUGGCGGCGUGCCUAAUACAUGCAAGUCGAGCGAACGGACGAGAAGCUUGCUUCUCUGAUGUUAGCGGCGGACGGGUGAGUAACACGUGGAUAACCUACCUAUAAGACUGGGAUAACUUCGGGAAACCGGAGCUAAUACCGGAUAAUAUUUUGAACCGCAUGGUUCAAAAGUGAAAGACGGUCUUGCUGUCACUUAUAGAUGGAUCCGCGCUGCAUUAGCUAGUUGGUAAGGUAACGGCUUACCAAGGCAACGAUGCAUAGCCGACCUGAGAGGGUGAUCGGCCACACUGGAACUGAGACACGGUCCAGACUCCUACGGGAGGCAGCAGUAGGGAAUCUUCCGCAAUGGGCGAAAGCCUGACGGAGCAACGCCGCGUGAGUGAUGAAGGUCUUCGGAUCGUAAAACUCUGUUAUUAGGGAAGAACAUAUGUGUAAGUAACUGUGCACAUCUUGACGGUACCUAAUCAGAAAGCCACGGCUAACUACGUGCCAGCAGCCGCGGUAAUACGUAGGUGGCAAGCGUUAUCCGGAAUUAUUGGGCGUAAAGCGCGCGUAGGCGGUUUUUUAAGUCUGAUGUGAAAGCCCACGGCUCAACCGUGGAGGGUCAUUGGAAACUGGAAAACUUGAGUGCAGAAGAGGAAAGUGGAAUUCCAUGUGUAGCGGUGAAAUGCGCAGAGAUAUGGAGGAACACCAGUGGCGAAGGCGACUUUCUGGUCUGUAACUGACGCUGAUGUGCGAAAGCGUGGGGAUCAAACAGGAUUAGAUACCCUGGUAGUCCACGCCGUAAACGAUGAGUGCUAAGUGUUAGGGGGUUUCCGCCCCUUAGUGCUGCAGCUAACGCAUUAAGCACUCCGCCUGGGGAGUACGACCGCAAGGUUGAAACUCAAAGGAAUUGACGGGGACCCGCACAAGCGGUGGAGCAUGUGGUUUAAUUCGAAGCAACGCGAAGAACCUUACCAAAUCUUGACAUCCUUUGACAACUCUAGAGAUAGAGCUUUCCCCUUCGGGGGACAAAGUGACAGGUGGUGCAUGGUUGUCGUCAGCUCGUGUCGUGAGAUGUUGGGUUAAGUCCCGCAACAAGCGCAACCCUUAAGCUUAGUUGCCAUCAUUAAGUUGGGCACUCUAAGUUGACUGCCGGUGACAAACCGGAGGAAGGUGGGGAUGACGUCAAAUCAUCAUGCCCCUUAUGAUUUGGGCUACACACGUGCUACAAUGGACAAUACAAAGGGCAGCGAAACCGCGAGGUCAAGCAAAUCCCAUAAAGUUGUUCUCAGUUCGGAUUGUAGUCUGCAACUCGACUACAUGAAGCUGGAAUCGCUAGUAAUCGUGGAUCAGCAUGCUACGGUGAAUACGUUCCCGGGUCU
RNAcentral lists this ribosomal RNA (1372 nucleotides) under uncultured bacterium. Its description in RNAcentral is "bacterial SSU rRNA". It matches the Rfam family "Bacterial small subunit ribosomal RNA", at positions 28 to 1381 of the family's 1533-position model. The record is from RNAcentral.